GAACGAAUCCACAUCCCAAACCUAGUUCGUCAAUCCCCUUUUCCUCUGCCAUGUACCACUGCUGGAGGUCGCCGCCGCUAGGGUUAACUGAAAAAAUUGGGCGGAUCACUAUAUCCCUCUCCCUCUCCCUCUCCCUCUCCUGUAUAUCUUCCUCUUCGCUUUCGGCGUUGAAGACGAACGCCCAAAGAUCAAAUCAUGAUGUCCGGCGGCGGCUCGCUGCCAUUGUGUCUCUGUAGCAACGUGGGGUUAUAACUCUUUGGAUCGACGAUAAGGCUGCAUAGGAGAGAACCAUUGUCCUUUACAGCUCAAGGAUCCAAGGUCUAUUGGUAGCAGGAUGGCAGUCCUGCAGCAGUGAUGUAAACUUUGACAUGGCCCAUGCCUGAAGUUCGAGAAACCUCAAAUGGACAGUGCAAUAGACUGACGUUUGAAAUGUAUGAAUCUCUACUGCUUUUCAAGUAGCAGCGUUGCUCUGUUGAAGAUUGUAUAGGAUGGCUUGUGUCAUCUUCAUUACAUUUGUUUGGCCGAGCUUCUGUUCCAAACCAUGCAUAGCACCUGAGAAAUUGGCAAGUUGUGCUCUUGUAUCAGUUGUUGUAAUUGUUGUGUGAUUGCUCAUUACUGACUUUUGGGGAAAAUGCAAAAUUUUCAUGUAAUUUAUUCUCGAACAGUUGAAAAGCUCAACAGUUAUUACUAUGUAAUAUUAAGUAUAUGAGAGAAAUGUAUUUAUAAAUAA
Long non-coding RNA from Triticum aestivum (bread wheat), 730 nucleotides. RefSeq lists it as uncharacterized. The transcript is spliced from 2 exons. NCBI's taxonomy places the organism in Eukaryota, Viridiplantae, Streptophyta, Magnoliopsida, Poales, Poaceae. The record is from RefSeq and is a predicted model, not a curated record.